Molecule: non-coding RNA, 382 nt
Organism: Pelobates cultripes (western spadefoot toad)
Lineage: Eukaryota; Metazoa; Chordata; Amphibia; Anura; Pelobatidae
Source: the annotation of a GenBank genome assembly
AUAAAAUUCAAAGAAUCACGUAUUUUAUUUAAAGGACAUGCAUCGCAUUAGACAUGUACGCCAACUGAGUACCUCCGUCCAAUCCAUUACCUAGCCGCUGGCAGAGACCCUGAAACACUUCCGCCCCAGUCCCCAAAGCUUGACUGGGUUCUCUUAGGUGCUCUUCCACUCGACCAGGCCCCAGCUCUUCUUCCAGGCAGGUAUCAUCCCCUCUGCCUAUUGCGCUGCAGCUCUCUACUUCCAGGCAGGUAUUGUUUUCUCUGCCAAUGGAGCUCUUUUUCCAGGCAGGUAUCCGGAACACUACUUAUAAUGUGAUUACAGCUAUUGCCGGAUCUAAGGCCUAGCUCUUUCGAUUUAUCCCAGGGUUACAGGGAUCCUGCAG